Molecule: ribosomal RNA, 253 nt
Filed under: uncultured bacterium
Lineage: Bacteria
Description: partial 16S ribosomal RNA
Rfam family: Bacterial small subunit ribosomal RNA
Source: RNAcentral
UACGUAGGGUGCAAGCGUUGUUCGGAAUCAUUGGGCGUAAAGCGUACGUAGGUGGAUUGAAAAGUCAGGUGUGAAAGCCCACGGCUUAACUGUGGAAUUGCGCUUGAAACUUUCAAUCUAGAGGAUGGUAGAGGUAGGUAGAAUUCCUAGUGUAGAGGUGAAAUUCGUAGAUAUUAGGAGGAACACUCGUGGCGAAGGCGGCCUACUGGGCCAUUCCUGACACUGAGGUACGAAAGCAUGGGGAGCAAACAGG